Molecule: ribosomal RNA, 257 nt
Filed under: uncultured bacterium
Lineage: Bacteria
Description: partial 16S ribosomal RNA
Rfam family: Bacterial small subunit ribosomal RNA
Source: RNAcentral
UCCUACGGGGCGCAGCAGUGAGGAAUAUUGGUCAAUGGGCGGGAGCCUGAACCAGCCAAGUCGCGUGAGGGAAGACGGUCCUAUGGAUUGUAAACCUCUUUCUUCUUGGAGCAAUUCCGUGCACGCGUGCCCGGAGGGAGAUUACCCGCAGAAUAAGCAUCGGCUAACCCCGUGCCAGCAGCCGCGGUAAUACGGAGGAUGCGAGCGUUAUCCGUAUUUAUUGGGUUUAAAGGGUGCGUAGGCGGAUUUUUAAGUCA